RNAcentral lists this unclassified non-coding RNA (337 nucleotides) under Borreliella garinii. RNAcentral's name for it is "partial contains 5S-23S ribosomal RNA intergenic spacer and 23S ribosomal RNA". The record is from RNAcentral. Lineage: Bacteria; Pseudomonadati; Spirochaetota; Spirochaetia; Spirochaetales; Borreliaceae.
UGAGUUCGCGGGAGAGUAGGUUAUUGCCAGGGUUUUUAUUUUAUACUUUAAACAUUGAUUUUAUUUUUUAUGUUUUUAGAUGUUCAUGUUUUUGAAUGUUUUAUUCGAAUAAUAUAAAAAAUAAAAUAUAUAUAUUGACAUGGAUUAAACAAAGAUAUAUAUUAUUCUAUGUUGUAUAAACAAAUUGGCAAAAUAGAGAUGGAAGAUAAAAAUAUGGUCAAAGUAAUAAGAGUCUAUGGUGAAUGCCUAGGAGCUUUAAGGCGAAGAAGGUCGUGGUAAGCUGAGUUAACCGGGGGGGAGAAGCUAACCGAUCUCACCCCAGAAUCCGCAUGAUAAU